GACGAACGCUGGCGGCGUGCUUAACACAUGCAAGUCGAACGGUAAGGCCCUUCGGGGUACACGAGUGGCGAACGGGUGAGUAACACGUGGGUGAUCUGCCCUGCACUUCGGGAUAAGCCUGGGAAACUGGGUCUAAUACCGGAUAUGACCGCAUGCUUCACGGUGUGUGGUGGAAAGCUUUUGCGGUGUGGGAUGGGCCCGCGGCCUAUCAGCUUGUUGGUGGGGUAAUGGCCUACCAAGGCGACGACGGGUAGCCGGCCUGAGAGGGUGACCGGCCACACUGGGACUGAGAUACGGCCCAGACUCCUACGGGUGGCAG
RNAcentral lists this ribosomal RNA (319 nucleotides) under uncultured Actinomycetes bacterium. Its description in RNAcentral is "bacterial SSU rRNA". It matches the Rfam family "Bacterial small subunit ribosomal RNA", at positions 28 to 351 of the family's 1533-position model. The record is from RNAcentral. Lineage: Bacteria; Bacillati; Actinomycetota; Actinomycetes.